GCGUAAGAAAUACUUAAUAGACCUGGAUAAAUACAGGAUAUAUUGAAACAUUUAUUGCUAUUAAAUUUGCUUGCGUAAGAUUAGGUAGUUGGUAGGGUAAGGGCCUACCAAGCCGUCGAUCUUUAGCUGGUCUUAACGGACGGUCAGCCACAUUGGGACUGAGAUACGGCCCAAACCCAUUUUGGGGCAGCAGUGAGGAAUAUUGGACAAUGAGCGAAAGCUUGAUCCAUCAAUAUCCUGUGGGAGGAUUUGGAAGGUCAUAAGAUUGUAAACUCCUUUCAUUAAUGAUGAUAAUGACAU
This 300-nucleotide ribosomal RNA is filed under the name uncultured bacterium. RNAcentral describes it as "bacterial SSU rRNA". It matches the Rfam family "Bacterial small subunit ribosomal RNA", at positions 157 to 457 of the family's 1533-position model. The record is from RNAcentral.